ACUCGAUCAGUUCUCUCCGAGAAAGGCAUUUUCCAGCGCUUUGGAAAGCGGUCAUGAAAGAAUUGGAGGCGUUUUUCUGUCGGCGCAUAUUAAAAUGAAAUUUUGUUUGUUACCUUUAAGAGCAAAUUGCACUACCUGAUUUGACUAAUAUGCAAGUGCGGUCAGAUGCUCUGAGACAGCCAAGUUCAACGUACGCACCGUUCAGCUCUCUGCAGACUGCAGGAUGGCUUUGGGCAAUGGCAAGAGUGUAAUUUUUUGAGAACGAACCCUUUGACGCCGGAGCUUGAAAGUUUAGCAUCUUAUCCCAUAUGUGCCCUAACGCUAAGACUGGCUGGCUGGCACGACCAUGAAUACUUUUGUGGAUACCGAAAAGUCUCAUCUGAUCAGUGAGAAGAAAGCAAGAACCUACACCUUAAAACUGAAAAGCCCAUUUGCAGAAUCCAAAGAAGUAUACCAAAACUUCCCAUUUGAGAAUGGUAGUACGGCCACAGUCAUUGAGCUGGAACGAUGUGCAAACCUGCACUGCCAUGGGAGGUCAACAUCAUCAAUUGAAUGCAGAGAGAAACUGGUGGCAAGGAAAAAACUCUACAUUGCAUCCUUAGUGUGUUUAGUUUUCAUGAUUGGAGAGAUUGUAGGAGGUUAUUUAGCUCACAGUCUGGCAAUCAUGACUGAUGCGGCCCAUUUACUCACAGACUUUGGAAGUAUGAUGGUCAGUUUAUUCUCUUUAUGGAUUUCUUCAAGACCCCCAACCAAAAUCAUGAACUUUGGCUGGCACAGGGCAGAGAUUUUGGGAGCACUUGUGUCAGCUUUAUCGAUAUGGAUUGUGACGGCAGUCCUUGUGUAUCUGGCCAUUAUAAGGAUUGUAAACAACGACUACGAGAUCGAGGGACACGUGAUGCUUAUCACCUCUGGCUGUGCAGUCGGGGUCAAUGUUAUAAUGGCUUACAUUCUUCACCAGUCCACCACACUCCAUGGUCAUAGCCAUAGCUCUGGCUAUCACAAGAUCGAUGAAUCCGGUGAAAGCCCAGACAGUCAAGGACAUGCACAUGCUCACUUAGGUCACCAUGGAAACACCAGCGUCAGAGCGGCCUUCAUCCAUGUCAUUGGUGACCUGCUUCAGAGCGUUGGAGUACUGGUGGCUGCUGUUAUUAUAUAUUUUAGGCCUGAAUACAAAGUAGCAGAUCCAAUCUGUACCUUCCUGUUCUCUGUCUUUGUCCUGGGAACCACCUUUACCAUUCUGCGAGAUGUCUUCAGAAUACUAAUGGAAGGAGCCCCAAAGGCAAUAGAAUUUAAAUCCGUCAAGGAGGUUUUGUUGUCUUUAAAAGGUGUGAAGGCCGUUCACAGUCUGCAUUUGUGGGCUCUGACUCUAAGCCACACUAUGUUAUCUGUGCACAUUGCUAUUGAGGAGCAUGCUGAUGCAGAAACAGUGCUUAAGGAGGCUACCGAGCUUCUGAGGUCUAAAUUUGGCUUCCACAGCACUACCAUACAAGUAGAAAAGUAUUCAGAUGACAUGGCCGACUGCACACAAUGUCAAGACCCAAAGGAUUGAAGCACCAAACUGUCUGCAAGGGGUAGGGUGCAAUCGAGAGAGCUUAUGGGUACAUAAAUCCUACAGGUCCAAAGUCAAAGCAUUCUGAAACUUUGUAACCAGAGACAGAAGAGUGAGAAAACUGUGAGGAUAAAUUCAAACCUUUGAUACAAUUUGGUCUUUAUAAGCUAAUUUGUAUUUUCGUAAGCAACCAAAACAUAUCAUUCUCUCUAAGAUGGAAGUACAUUUUCAUUUUCAAAAUGCUUCCCUGCUGGCAUAGGCUUGAAAUUCCUUUUGUCUUGUAGUGGAAAAAAGAACCAGAAAUUAAACAUUUUAUACAUUUAAAAUGUUAAAUACUUUGAUGGAGUUUUCAUUCAAAUGUGAUUAGCUUCAUGGAGUAAAUGUCAAGAGAUAAGACAUAUAUUGUGGGGUAGUGGCAGUUUAUGAUUUAGAAUUAAUAUUCCAUUUAUUAAUCAAGUUUGGGAUCUAUGAAUAAAUAACAUUUAAAAUGAUAAAUAAUAACUAAAAGUGGAAUGUGUAUUACUCCCUUUGAAAAAGAAAGAAAUGAAAGGCUGCUGUUAAUUUGUGAGUGAUUUAAAAUUUGAUUAUAAACUCCUCCACCAUAAAUGACCUAACCCAGUUAUUAUGCCCACCACAGGGAGGUACAAAACACUCUUUUGCAUCAGGUAUCAUGUCUUAUGAGGCAGAACGAGCAGCCCAUAAUAUUUUCCGGAGAGAUUCAGUCUUAAUACUGGUCUUUGUCCCUGGAGAGCCCUGUUCUAUGAUGGAUGCUGCAGAAUAGCUUAGAAAUGGAAAAAUAUAAUAUAGUUUAAUUAUGUUCAUAAAAUAAGAAAAGUGGGAAAAACAAACACAUUUUAUUACAACUUUGAUUUACAAACACAUCCAGCAGGUUUAGAUAUUAAUUUAAACUGCAGUGCUGUUUGUGGACAGUAUAGCUGUGAAUACUAAUAAAUGUAUUCAAUAACCUUAUCGCCCCCUAACAGAGGGAGUAGCAAGCAAGGCGAGAACAGCACAAACAUCACAACGAAAUACAAAUGUGGUCACAAAGGUGUCUGGUCCAGUUGCCAACUUUGUAAUGGUCACUUUUGGAUUUAAAGUGGCAUCGAACUAAGGGCACACACAGCUGCACAAUUGUUUUGUCCCUUCAUUUUCAGAAGCCUCCCUGAGUCGCUUUAUUUACCAUUUCUGUAUCUAACAUACAUAUCGUAAUUGCCACUGUCAACACGUGAACUACAAUAAAUAGGAUGAAAGACGUCAGGCCAGUUUGUUGCUGGAGAUGUCUAAUGCUUGUUAAAAAUGUUAGCAGAAAACAAAUAAUCUUUCUUAAAAAUGAACUAAAAAUGGAUUUUUCUCAAUAAAGGAUUAAAUAAUAUACAGUGGAACCUCGGUUUGCGAGUAACUUGGUUUACGAGUGUUUUGCAAGAUGAGCUAAAAUUUUUAAUAAAUUUUGACUUGAUAAAUGAGCGAGGUCUUGCAAUAUGAGUAGUAUGUAUACGCUUUGUCUGCUGAGUGUCAUGUGAUCACAACUGAGCUGAUGGUUCUUCUCUCUCUCUCG
This is an RNA transcript of Erpetoichthys calabaricus (reedfish), 3104 nucleotides long. It is a transcript of the gene named solute carrier family 30 member 2, with no coding region annotated. The record is from RefSeq and is a predicted model, not a curated record. The transcript is spliced from 10 exons. NCBI's taxonomy places the organism in Eukaryota, Metazoa, Chordata, Cladistia, Polypteriformes, Polypteridae.